AGAGUUUGAUCCUGGCUCAGGAUUAACGCUGGCGGCGUGCCUAAUACAUGCAAGUCGAACGGAGAGCUUCUGGUAAUUUAUUACCGGUUGUUUCUUAGUGGCGAACGGGUGAGUAACGCGUUGGUGAUCUGCCCCGAAGAGUGGGAUAACUUCGGGAAACUGGAGCUAAUACCACAUGUGAUCUUGGCUUUUAGAAAACCAAGAUUAAAGGACUUCGGUCCGCUUUGGGAGGAACCUGCGUCCCAUCAGCUAGUUGGUAGGGUAAUGGCCUACCAAGGCGAAGACGGGUAGGGGACCUGAGAGGGUGACCCCCCACAAUGGUACUGAAACACGGACCAUACAUCUACGGAUGGCAGCAGUAGGGAAUCUUGCACAGUGGACGAAAGUCUGAUGCAGCUACGCCGCGUGUGCGAUGAAGGCCUUCGGGUUGUAAAGCACUUUUCUGAGGGAAGAGGAAGGACGGUACCUCAGGAAUAAGUCUCGGCUAACUACGUGCCAGCAGCCGCGGUAACACGUAGGAGGCAAGCGUUAUCCGGAUUUACUGGGCGUAAAGCGCGUGCAGGCGGUUUGGUAAGUUGGAUGUGAAAGCUCCCGGCUCAACUGGGAGAGGCCGUUCAAUACUGCCAGGCUAGAGGACGGUAGAGGGAGGUGGAAUUCCCGGUGUAGUGGUGAAAUGCGUAGAUAUCGGGAGGAACACCAGUGGCGAAAGCGGCCUCCUGGGCCGUUCCUGACGCUAAGACGCGAAAGCAUGGGUAGCAAACGGGAUUAGAAACCCCGGUAGUCCAUGCCGUAAACGAUGCGAACUUGGUGUUGGUGGUGUAAGAGCCAUCAGUACCGUAGCUAACGCGAUAAGUUCCGCCGCCUGGGGAUUACGAACCGCAAGGUUAAACUUCAAAUGGAAUGACCGGGUCUCGCACAGGCAGCGGAGCGUGUGAUUAAUCGAUUGCUACCGCAGACUACUGGGCUGAAAUAGCGUGCUAAGAUAUCCGAAUGUGAACCGAACCACUGUGGAGCCAUAUAUAUAUCCAUCGU
This 1032-nucleotide ribosomal RNA is filed under the name uncultured bacterium. RNAcentral describes it as "bacterial SSU rRNA". It matches the Rfam family "Bacterial small subunit ribosomal RNA", at positions 8 to 1046 of the family's 1533-position model. The record is from RNAcentral.